CUAGAGUUGCAUCAACGGAAGUUUCCAGCGUGUUCCAUCCAGGAUGAAGUAGUGGAUCCUGAGGUGCCCAGGAAAUCCCCCAUCAGACACCACCACAAGCGUAAGAAGGGAAUUCUCCAUCACUGGCCUCACAAUCGUGUACACCCUAGAGUUGCAUCAACGGAAGGAUGAAGUAGUGGAUCCUGAGGUGCCCAGGAAAUCCCCCAUCAGACACCACCACAAGCGUAAGAAGGGAAUUCUCCAUCACUGGCCUCACAAUCGUGUACACCCUAGAGUUGCAUCAACGGAAGUUUCCAGCGUGUUCCAUCCAGGAUGAAGUAGUGGAUCCUGAGGUGCCCAGGAAAUCCCCAUCAGACACCACCACAAGCUUAAGAAGGGAAUUC
Molecule: non-coding RNA, 383 nt
Organism: Chlorocebus sabaeus (green monkey)
Lineage: Eukaryota; Metazoa; Chordata; Mammalia; Primates; Cercopithecidae
Source: RefSeq, a predicted model, not a curated record